UGUUAGUCUGCAACCAUUUUGCAUAUCAUUAACUACAUUGAAACUUACCUCAAACACCUCCGUUAUUGUUAUUUGUAAUACAAUUCGUCCCCCUUUGUUUGUCUAAUGUGGGAUAUUACAUUUUUUUGUAAACUGUGUAAAGUUAUUGUUGUGUUUCUGGGCCAGCCGGAUAUGUGUACGUGAAUCGACAGCGCACGGACAGAGAUGCGAAGAAUGCUCGGAAUGAGAACAGGAAUGAAAUGAACGCGAAGAGCGAGUUUGCUUUGGGGCGGAGCAAAGGUGGCGUCAUCCCGAUCCUAACAGCCCUAGAUAGGAGGGACAAGGCGGAAAAAAACAAGCAGAAUGAUCUCACAGGACACGUCGAAUUCAAAUUGGUGGGAGAAAGAAGAGGGAAUUUCUUUGUGGAGGUGGUGUCUGUUCCCUCAAUACCAACCUAUUAACCAUCAAAAGGGAGUCUUAUCUAUGCAAAUGCAGCAAGCCCUGGAGGAACAAACCCUGCUAGCACAGCACAUGUGACACCACACCAACACCUGAGUACAGUCACAGCGGUGAUUCAUUCACAGCCAUGGGGUCAUCUGUCGACAGUGUUUCACAAGCUCCUUGUUAAAUAUUAGCCCUGCAUAUCCAGGAAGCCCACCGGCGGAUCCCAGCAUAAUGGCAAACUGUAAAAUGGUUCAUAGCCUUACAUCAGAGCCUGUUCUCGUUGCCUUAUCGGGCACAUGAGUCUCCUGGCAGAUUGCAUCCAGGAAAUGUGGCCAUAAGAAAAUGUGUGUGUAUGUGUGUGUACGUGUGUGUACCCAGUUGGGAAUUAUUUGACAAGGUACAAUAUUGAACCAACACUCAUUUCAGUGUAGAAUGUGUUGUUAUUCCUUCCUAUGUGUAGGUGAACAAGUUAAACUGAGUUAAUAGUAUGCAUUUCAAUAGAUAUUACAUGUCAUAAUGAAGCCAUAAAAGUGUUAUCUGACAGCAUGGGAACCCAUGUGCGCGUGUGAAAACGUAACAUCUGAAAUUCUCGUGCCUCUCCGCUGGCAAAUUACACCAAGACUAAUCAUUGAAUCUGUGUGCAUCUUUGCAAAGGAUCACUGCAUGUGGUGAGGGGAGAAGACAGUGCUCAACACGGCUGAACUGUUUACCCCAAAACAGACAUUGCAGGUUUCUGUCCCCACCCCUCUAUCCACACACGGCCUUCAAACUCUUUUAUGACUGGGUGUGGCCACAGAGCAAUAAGAGUGGGGGUGGAAUAAGGGAGGACAGAAAUCUCACAGCAAGGAUUUUAGUGGGGAGGGCAAUCCCAUAAUUCAGGGACAAUUGAUGGAACCAAACAGAUAUGCCUAAUAUAAUUGUAAUUGUAUCAACAGAAAUCUAUUGGUAUUUGAGCAGUGGACAUCAUUAUCCUGUUAGAUUCUAUUUAGCCCUAAUUUGUAAUAAAUAUGUAUUUGUUCACAGAUCAUUGUUUUUAACAAUGACAUCUUACAAGUUUAAAAUAUAAACUUUAACAGGACACUUUUUUAAAUGACACGUUUCUCAUUCAGUGUUAAUUACAUAGGUCUUACCCCAGAUAUGGAUUUGCGUUCUACAGUACCAUUUGUCACUACAGAAGCAUCCAGGGAUAGCUGCCUGCUGCCUGACACCUGGGCAGAUAAGGCCCUAAAGGUCUGGUGUGGCAGGGCUUUGAACUGGAGCCUUCUGGAGCCUCUGCUCCAGGGGAGGCCUGGGGUGCUGCUGGUUGAGGAGGAUGGGGAGAUGUUGGGGGGAGAGGUGAACCGGCUGCCCUGCCCUCCGACCACUCCUAAUCAGACGACCCUGGGAGGCCAGGUGCAGAUCGUCACUGGCUUUCUGCUCUGACGGUGCACUGAUUGGCUUUAUUAGAAGAUAGGAGAGGGGUAAGCAAGGAGCUGAGGACCAUUCUCUCUGGUGGAAAAAGCCUACAUCAUUUCAAUCAAACUAUUUAGAGAAAUUGGUAUUACCCAAGGUGGCUCUGGGUUAAUUCGAUUAUUAUGGUCACUUACACUUCAUUUGAAAUCAAUUUAUGUUGCAUAAAGUAAAAUGUUUUUCUGAAAAUGAAAUACCAGAACAAUUCCUCAACACCUGAAGGUCAAAUUAUUAUAACAAAACAGUAUAUCAUAGUGUGUGGCCAUGUUGGUGUUGACAUUGGCCAAAAUUGAACAUGCGUUGGAGUUUGUUUGGGAAGUAUAGACAUUCAAGUGUAUCACGCAAACAAACCAAAUGUGUUAGCAGAUGCCAUCUUGUGGUCACUUAGAAACAGUGCUUUGUGAACAUACUAAGGAACAUUGAGCAAGCUGUGUAUAUCGACUACUACAGUAUGAACAUGCCAUAGUAGAGCCAGAGCUCAGUCAAUGACUUACACAUCAUUGCAAAAUGUUUUCUCUCUAUGGUCUAACUGCAUAUGACCUUAAAACAUAAAACACUGUACACAGCCCCCACUUCAAAUUAACUUUCCAUGACCAAUCAUUGUGCUAUAUUGAACAAUGAUAAAUUGAAGACAAUUGAAAACAAUGAAGUGUGAGGAUGUCAUUUUUUAAAGUUGGAAAAUAUAUUUAUCUGUGUAUAUAAAUAAACUUUCAAUAGUAA
Long non-coding RNA from Oncorhynchus tshawytscha (Chinook salmon), 2592 nucleotides. Lineage: Eukaryota; Metazoa; Chordata; Actinopteri; Salmoniformes; Salmonidae. The record is from Ensembl.